CCUACGGGUGGCAGCAGUGAGGAAUAUUGGUCAAUGGGCGCGAGCCUGAACCAGCCAAGUCGCGUGAGGGAGGACGGCCCUACGGGUUGUAAACCUCUUUUGCCGGGGAGCAACGGGCGCCACGUGUGGCGUCACUGAGAGUACCCGGAGAAAAAGCAUCGGCUAACUCCGUGCCAGCAGCCGCGGUAAUACGGAGGAUGCGAGCGUUAUCCGGAUUUAUUGGGUUUAAAGGGUGCGUAGGCGGAUCGUUAAGUCAGUGGUCAAAUUGAGGGGCUCAACCUCGCUCCGCCGUUGAAACUGGCGUUCUUGAGUGGGCGAGAAGUAUGCGGAAUGCGUGGUGUAGCGGUGAAAUGCAUAGAUAUCACGCAGAACUCCGAUUGCGAAGGCAGCAUACCGGCGCCCAACUGACGCUGAAGCACGAAAGCGUGGGUAUCGAACAGGAUUAGAUACCCUUGUAGUC
RNAcentral lists this ribosomal RNA (460 nucleotides) under uncultured bacterium. Its description in RNAcentral is "partial 16S ribosomal RNA". It matches the Rfam family "Bacterial small subunit ribosomal RNA", at positions 338 to 795 of the family's 1533-position model. The record is from RNAcentral.